GGAGAGAUGACCGAGAGGCCGAAGGUGCUCGCCUGCUAAGCGAGUAUACCCCAAAAGGGUAUCUGGGGUUCGAAUCCCCAUCUCUCCGCCA
This 91-nucleotide transfer RNA is filed under the name Eggerthellaceae bacterium. RNAcentral's name for it is "tRNA-Ser". It matches the Rfam family "tRNA". Rfam says of the family: Transfer RNA (tRNA) molecules are approximately 80 nucleotides in length. Their secondary structure includes four short double-helical elements and three loops (D, anti-codon, and T loops). RNAcentral also lists the same sequence under 1 other name. Lineage: Bacteria; Bacillati; Actinomycetota; Coriobacteriia; Eggerthellales; Eggerthellaceae. The record is from RNAcentral.